UACAUCUGUGCUAUUGGUUAUUGCUAACGGUUUUUAGUUGUUUUCGACAUAUAUUUAUUGUUGUUUGAGCGACUUGAGCAUAAAAAUGUCGCGAAAACGUCCUUUGAAUGACCGUGAGCUUGAGAAUUUUGCCGAAAUGGAUGAGAAUGAGUGGGACAGUUUCCUAAAGGAUAAUUCGGAUGAGGACCCGGAAUAUAAAAUGUCUAGUGAACAGACUUCAAGUGAAAGUGAUCAGGAUCAAAUCCAGCCACCCGAAAAAUCACAUUUAGAUCCUGAGUGGGUUGACAUUGCGGACGAGCACAUUGAAGACGAGCUACCAGAAGUACCAGACUUAGACGCAGAGUGGGUUGACAUUGAGGAGGAACCACCACAUUUUGAUUUUUUGGUUAUGAGCAGAAAUCGGUUCAAGUUACUGUUGCGUUUUUUGCAUUUCGCUGACAAUUCGGGAGUGACUAAAGAUCGUUUAUUUAAGAUUAGACCAGUCCUUGAUCAUUUCAACAAAUUAAUGCACUAUGUUCCGGACAAAAACUUAUGCAUUGAUGAAUCAAUGGUCUUAUGGCGUGGCAGGCUUAUUUUUAGACAAUAUGUAAAAAAUAAGAAGCAUAAGUACGGGGUAAAAUUAUAUGAACUAUGCGAAUCUGCUGGCAUGAUUCUAAAAAUAAAAGUAUAUUGCGGGAAAUCAGAAGCUAUCGAGAAUGAUUUGGGACAUGCUGCAAGUGUGGUUCUUCAUUUAAGGGUUAUGUACUCUAUACUUAUAAUGUUUUUAAUUCAGUAGGCUUAACUAAUAACAUGACAGCGAAAAAAACAAUUUCAAUAUUUGUGGCACCUUACGCGGUAAUCGAAAGCGAAAUCCAAAGUAUGUCGUUUCAAAAAAGCUAAAAAAAGGCGAAUGUAUAUGGCAAAGACGCAAAUCAGUAGUUGUUUGCAAGUGGAAGGACAAGCGAGAGGUAUUGACGAUUUCAAAUAUGCACAAAGUACAAAUGAUUUAAAUGCGCAACAGGAACGGAAAAGUUUCUGUGAAACCUAAUAUAAUAAAGGACUACAAUGCAGGAAUAUCAGGUAUCGACCAGUCCGAUCAAAUGCUUAGUUACUAUAGCGCACUAAGAAAAACCAUUAAUUAGAUGGCCGAAAAAGAUUGCAUUGCAUAUUCUCGAAAUAUAUAUACAUAACGCUUACUUGCUGUUUCGUAAAUCGACCGGAAGCAGAAUAAAAUCUUUAAAAUUUAGAGAGAUGUUUGUGUCUACUCUUCUCGGUGAUAAAAGUCCAGCAGCGUACAGCAGCGGGACUUUCACUAUUUGGAAGGUAUACCACCAACCGAAAAAAAACAACGACCUACAAGAGCUUACCGUGUAUGUACUUCGAAUAAACUUCGACGAGAAACACGUUAUUUCUGUCCUGUCUGUGAAGAGAAACCAGCCUUAUGUGUGAAACAUUGCUUUAAGGACUACCACCUAAAGUAAAAAUGACUAAACAAGAAUUUUUAGACAUUUUUUUUUAUAAUUUUUUUUUUUUUAAACUUCAUAAUAUUAUCUUAAUUAUCUGUAAACACUAGCAAUUAAGUUUCCCUAGUUUUAAGGCACAGUUUAUGUCUUUCCGCUUUUUGUUAGAACUAAAAACAUUUUUAAUUUUUUUUUGUGUCACUGCAUUUUGCUUCCUCUGUACUAAACAAGAUGAAAAUAUAAUUUAAAAAUGA
RNAcentral lists this long non-coding RNA (1693 nucleotides) under Anthonomus grandis grandis. RNAcentral describes it as "uncharacterized LOC126737013". Lineage: Eukaryota; Metazoa; Arthropoda; Insecta; Coleoptera; Curculionidae. The record is from RNAcentral.